Molecule: transfer RNA, 82 nt
Organism: Advenella mimigardefordensis DPN7
Lineage: Bacteria; Pseudomonadati; Pseudomonadota; Betaproteobacteria; Burkholderiales; Alcaligenaceae
Rfam family: tRNA
About the family: Transfer RNA (tRNA) molecules are approximately 80 nucleotides in length. Their secondary structure includes four short double-helical elements and three loops (D, anti-codon, and T loops).
Source: Rfam
GCCCAGGUGGCGGAAUUGGUAGACGCGCAUGGUUCAGGUCCAUGUGCCUUCGGGUGUGGGGGUUCGAGUCCCCCCUUGGGCA